Canis lupus familiaris (dog) is the source of this 3110-nucleotide long non-coding RNA. RefSeq lists it as uncharacterized. The transcript is spliced from 3 exons. The record is from RefSeq and is a predicted model, not a curated record. Lineage: Eukaryota; Metazoa; Chordata; Mammalia; Carnivora; Canidae.
AUCUCCUCUGCUGGGCUGGCCCCAAGGCGCAGGCAGUGGGACUUACUGGCCUGAGCAACCCAAUCAAGAACUGAGCAAAUAUCCCCCCAGGAGUCCUUCAGCAGGGACAGAGGGAGCAGGUUCCAAGGGCUCAUGUUGGUGUUCCUUCCCUUUUCCAGAUCUCCAUCUAGGGUCUCACAAAGGCGCCACACUGACCAAAUGACAUGGGGCCAGGCCCUGUGCCUAUCACAAUGGCCCUCUGGUUGAGGCCAGAAGCAUAGUGGUAAAGAGGUGGUCUCAGCAGUCAGGAGGAUGUGGAUUUGGGUCAGCUUUGCUCUACCAAAGGAGCGUGAAGCAGGACAAGUCACUUCACCUCUCUGACCCUUACUGUCCACAGGUGUAAAACGGGGACACUAAGAAUAACCACUGUGUAGAUUCGAUUGAGGAUUCGAUGAGGCCAAGACAGUACCUGAGACACACGGACACUCCAAGGAAAAGGGUUCUGUGACCAGGCUGGGUGAACCUGCAGACUCUACUGCCUUUAUGGGGAUCCAUAAUCCCCCAUUGGCAUAUUCGAGUCUCUGAGAAUGGACCUGCUUACCUGAUUCAACCCAGCCUCUCUCCAACAUACUGACCCCAGAAUUCUUCUCCCCAACACAUUGACACCUAUGAACCACGGGCUACACUGUCCUAAGCUGUGGUAAAGCCCUGAUGGGGUCCAAUGAUGAUGACUUCCUCCCAGGUGAGAAGGCAGACACAGACCUUGCUUGUUACAGCCUUUCCGGGGGCAGGAGACAGCUGUCCUUGCAGUGACACCGCCUCAGAGACUGGCCUUGUUUCACAGGGAUGUGCGACAUGGAAUUCCCACCCUUCCCCUUCCUCCCAGUGCUCAGGGGCCCCCCACCCUGUAGACAGUACCCAGAUCAAACCCCAGCCUGGCAACUGUCUAAGCUGCCACAGGCCUAGGAGGGCUCCCAGGUAAGGGAAGCAGACAGACACACAGACACACAGACUAUGGAAGCACAGGCACACUGAAAAGCGCAGCCAGUGGAGACUGCACUUGUUUGAUGGCAGUAAUGACAGAUGACGGCACUGCAGGGGGGCGGGCCUGUGACCAGAGCUCAACAGUGUCCUCAGCUCUGGCUCAACCUCUCUCCAUCCCAGCCUCAGCACUUCAGUUUCCAUUCCUCCCACUGACAUAAGUACCAUUUCUGGCUAAAGCUCAGACAUGCAAUUUUAUCCCUGAAGAUCAAUUUUUCAUCCUCCCUAACUCUGGCUUCUCAGUGUGAAGACAAGUACACAAGAAGAACCCGGUGGUCCACCCAGCUGCUGUCUCCAGGUAGCUUCCCCCACUUGGCCUUGUACACUGCGCUUGUGGCUCCCCCAGGACAUAAGCCUCAUUGGGGCAGCAGCCAGGCUUUGGCAGUUGCCAACCAAUGACAGCAGGUCUCAGGUGUGCAUCCGGCUGCUCCUUCCACCUGCCUGCCAUGCUCAGGGCUACCAAUGAGAUGAGACAGACCCAGGGCACUUUGUGAAGUCCUGGAGACCAGGAAUCAAAGGCCUCCCUGGCUCUGGCGACUCUUGUGGGGGGACCUUUCUGCAGGGGACGAGGGGCCACCGGGCACUGCACGGUGACAGAGACAGACAUGGAGCACACGCUGGACUGUGGCCUGCCUGCUGUCAUGUGCAGGCCGGAGACGCUUACCUAGGGAGAGUCCAUUGGUGACGGCAGAAGAGGAGGUGAGGGCGAGGCCCCUGCGGGGGCUGCGAGACUCUAGGACACUGUCGUCCAGCAGGUGCCUCGCUUUCUCCGAUGGGAAUGUCGCACUUUUACUCUCAACUACACUCAACUGACACAUCAUACUGGAAAAUGGAAAGGAAGAAAGAAGGCAAAGCUCCUUAUCCUCAGAGUAACAGAUGAUGACAAAGCUCAAGUGAGUGGACAGCACUUGUGAACGAUGGAGCCACACAAGUGAAGGGGGAGCAUGACCCUGUGGGCAGUGCGCCUGAUUCUGGAGCCACGCAUCUGAUCCAAAUUCUUGUUCCAACCUUACUUACCAUUGUGAAGUACUUCAACCUGUUGAACCUCACAGGACUCCUUCUUACAGUGUAUACUAUAGCACCUACCUGGGAGGCCUGCAGGGACUCAAUGAUAUAGUGCUUGACAGGCAUGUAUCAGACUAACACAGAGCAAGCCCUAGACACUCAGAGAGCAACCCCCCACCCAGUCUGUGAGUGACUCCAAGGCCAGCUUGAGCUGACUGAGGCUUGUGUCUUAGUGGUGGAAGGAAGGGAGAGAGAGAAGGACGGAAGGGAAAGAGGAAGAGAGGGAAGGAGAGGAGGAAAGAACAGGGGGAAGAGGGCUCCAACUGUUCGAGAGUCUCUGACCAGCACCCCAGGGACACAGGCAUGGCUGCCCCAGCCAUGUGAGGUCCACACGUGCCCCCCAGCUGUCAGUCACAUAAGGCUGGGCAAACUAGUGGCAGGUUCACUGCUCUGCAGGCUUUCUGAGACAACUGGCAAGCAGACACUCUGAGCCCCAACACUGGCAGGUGCCUUAAGACAUUUCCAGAGCCCCUGCCAGCCUGAAGGGAGGGACCAGCCUUCAGGAAGAGGAACUCAGCAGAUGGCUAAGGGAGCCCCCCAGUGGUCAAGCAUUCCCAGCCACCGUGGAGCCCAUGCCCCAGCUCAGUCUAGUCUGGAGCCCACAGUGGGUGGGGGUUGGGGGGGUCUGCUCAGUCACCCACUUGUUUCCCAGGCUGUGGCUCUUCCUGUGUCUUGGGACAGGGGGUGUGGGGAGGCUGCCAGCCACAGAUGCAUCAGGACAGGUGGGCCGCCGGCUGAACCUUGCAGAACUGGAGCCAGUGGAGGGGCCUGUGAACAGAGCAGAGAGCAAUGGUCGGGGCUGGGCUGCAGAUGCUCGGAGGUGAGGGCCCCGGGGGGGUAAGGCACCAGACCCGGCUGUUGAGUGCAGGGCACGGUUCACAGAAACCUUGUGGUUUCCCACUCAUGAGACACUGAUCUCUCACUGGCAGGAUAACCAGCCUCUGAACUGCUUGUCAAGAUGGCCAGUGUCCUGCUAUGCAUGGUGCCCCUCGACCAGGCAGUGCCACUGGCUAAUACAGGGGUGA